GAUUCCCUUAGUAACGGCGAGCGAAAAGGGAACUGUCCAGCGCCAAGUCUUGACACCCAGGUGCUCAAGAGAUGCGGCGUUAAUGUGUUGGCGCCUCGUGUUCCGACCGGCCUUUCAAGUUCGCUUGACAGCGACAUCCAGAGCGGGUGCUAGGCCCAUAGAGAGGCUGGUCCGGUCCACGCCGGCCAAUGCAUUCUAGAGUCAGGUUGCUUGAGAGUGCAGCUUAAAGUCGGUGGUAAACUCCAUCCAAGACUAAAUAUGACAGCGAGACCGAUAGCAAACAAGUACCGUGAGGGAAAGUUGCAAAGCACUUUGAAGAGAGAGUUCAACAGUACGUGAAACCACUGGCAGGCAAACAGAUGGAACCACGAAUGUGCGCUCUGGUCGAUUCAAUCACCGCUGUGGGUUAGCUGGGACGAGCAAGGGUCUCUCCGGAGGCUGGCUCGUCCCGGUUGCGACCUUCGGCGGUGGUGCAUUUCGUGCCAGGGAUGCUAAGCCACGUUCGACUAGAGUUGGAACGGCCGUAGGAUGGGAUCUGGGAAAGGUGGCCGGCACGUGCUUGCGCGUGUCGGUGUUACAGGCCCGGAUCGGAACCGUUGCCAAACCGACUGGUCGAUGAAAGURCUCCCUCGGGAGUAAGACUGCCGCUGCCCGAUGCAGCUAGUCAGUGUUUCGCGGUGUUCUUGCAGUGCUUCGUUGUGCGACAAGACGCGGCAACAGCGCGGGCUAGUUGUGRCCUGCGGGCGGCAGUGGAACUGUGGUGCGAGUAGGUCGGUGUCCAUCUGACCCGUCUUGAAACACGGACCAAGGAGCCUAUCAUAUACGCGAGUCGCUCGGUCUUGAACAGGCCCGGGAGGCGRAAUGAAAGUAACUGGCUAUGAGACUUCGGUCGCAAUAGCGGUACGCCUACUUCGUUUAUUGGCGAUCAGGCGUAAUCGGAGCGUAUACGAUGGUACCCGAAAGAUGGUGAACUAUGCCUGGGCAAGACGAAGCCAGAGGAAACUCUGGUGGAGGUCUGUAGCGAUUCUGACGUGCAAAUCGAUCGUCAGACCUGGGUAUAGGGGCGAAAGACUAAUCGAACCAUCUAGUAGCUGGUUCCCUCCGAAGUUUCCCUCAGGAUAGCAGGCGCUCAGAAUGUCCAGUGUCAUCCGGUAAAGCUAAUGAUUAGAGGUCUUGGGGUUGAAACGACCUCAACCUAUUCUCAAACUUUAAAUGGGUGAGAUGGUUGACUUUCUUGAYUGAAGCCAACCAUUUGCAUGUGAGUGCCUAGUGGGCCAUUUUUGGUAAGCAGAACUGGCGCUGUGGGAUGAACCAAACGUCGAGAUAAGGAAUCGAAUGCGUACGCUCAUCAGACCCCAUGAAAGGUGUUGGUUGCUAUAGACAGCAGGACGGUGGCCAUGGAAGUCGGAAUCC
This 1413-nucleotide ribosomal RNA is filed under the name Neopteronyssus pici. RNAcentral describes it as "eukaryotic LSU rRNA". It matches the Rfam family "Eukaryotic large subunit ribosomal RNA", at positions 73 to 1269 of the family's 3401-position model. The record is from RNAcentral. Lineage: Eukaryota; Metazoa; Arthropoda; Arachnida; Sarcoptiformes; Pteronyssidae.